GUGCUGCCUCUGAGCUUCCGUUGUGCCUGGGAGUGGUACCAGGGGCAGGGGCAGGGGUACGGAGGGAUUGCUGUCAGGCUGCAGCACCAGAGCAUGUGUUUGCACAUAACUGGGGCCAACUGCUGACUGUUGCCGUUCGAGGCCCUUUUAACCGAGGACCACAGAA
Molossus molossus (Pallas's mastiff bat) is the source of this 166-nucleotide small nucleolar RNA. The record is from RefSeq and is a predicted model, not a curated record. Lineage: Eukaryota; Metazoa; Chordata; Mammalia; Chiroptera; Molossidae.